CUCUCCGCAGUCGUAUUUAUUUGGGGUUCUUCUUCUUCUCGGCAUCGACAUCAGAUAAUUCGCAAAAUCGAUAGCCGAAGUUACGUAUGUUUAUCUAAUUUCUUCUUCUUUUAUCUGUUUGAAUGUAUGUUUGUAUGUUUUUCUCUUCAAUUUGAAUUUUUAGUUUUAUGCAAUCUAGGGUUUCGCAAUUUGGGAUUUUUAUGCAUCUUUUCAUUUUAUGAAUUUCUAGAGAUUGAGAGUUUUUAUUUUAUGAUUUUCUAGAGAUUGAGAGUUAUUUUGAAUGGAAGAUUGAGAGUUAUUUUGAAUGGAAGGGAAGGAUGAUGAUUCUUCGAUUAGGUGGGAAAAUAAGAAAAAUAAGGGUUCUACAGAACAAAAAUACAGAUUGUCUGGUAAUAUGGAUUUCAAAAGCUUCAGUGCCCGUUUGAAAUAUCAGAAGCGUCAUUUUACUGAAGCUCUCUGGGAUGAGAUUAUCAGGUCUGAUAAUAGAGAGAUGUACAAAGGAGGAGUUACGCAGGCAGAGACAGCGAAGACUUGGCCGCAGAUAUCACAGAGAAACUGCCCAGAGGUUAGGUGUGAUUAAGCCACUGGAGAUCAAGCCACCGGCGAUUAAGCUUAUCGCUAAACAAGCUGAGAAAAAGCUUACUGCUAAACAAGCUGAGAAAAAGAAAAGGAGAAGAUCUGUAGAUUGUGGGACCACGACAUUGGCAACGCAGAGGCAAAAAUACCAGCAUACACGGUUGUUUAAUGUGUGAAUCCAUCCCUGCAUAGUAAGAGGACGGCGUGGAAAGGAUGUGACAGGUACACUCGAAGCUAAUUUGAACGGUUUCCAGUAUUCCAACUGUUGUAUCCCCUUUAAGAUUAAUAUCAUGUAUGGUGAUAUAAAGUAUGCCUUCGCUCAAGAUGGAGAUGAGCAGAGUGCCCCGUUAUGCCAUUUGCACUUGCACAAGACUGAAAUGACACAGAAUAUCCAGUUCCGUAUGGUACUGAGGAGACCUGCUCAUGGUUCGGGUAACUUUCAAAAAGAGCUGCAAAAGAUUAGGGAUGAUAAUAAUAGGGUUAUGCGGGAGUUUAGACGCAAAGUUGAUUGUAUUUUUGAUCCGUUGCCACUCAGGCUUACAUGUGAUUAUGUGGACACGAAACGAGGAUUCUAUGGCGAGCUUCACCUGAAGGGGCACCCUCCAUUUUCAACCAUUUUUGUCUUCUCCUAUUUUACCCUAGUUCAACUCAAUCACACACCUUUCACUAUUGUCACACUGAAAGAGAUCGAGAUUGUCAAUCUGGUGCAAGUUGGGUCUGAGAUGGAGAUGUUUAAUAUGACAAUCGUGUUCAAGAACUUCGAGCUCGAUGUGCUUCAGAUAAACUCAAUUCCUUCAGCAAAGCGCAUUAGCAUCAAAGAGUCACUUAACCUUGCUAGGGUCAAAUACUAUGAAAAUAAGCAGGACUUUCCAGACUGGGGGUCCAAACUGGAGGAAAUCAGAGCUAACCCAAAGGAGUUCAUAGAUAAGGGUGGAUGGAAGUUCCUCAAUGUGGAGGGGAGUGCUAAUAACUCUGAUAGCUCGGGGGAUGAGUACAGUAUUGGUUAUUACUCCUCAGAACCUGAGCAGACAUGUGAAUCAGUUCCAAAAGGGAAAGAAUCAGUUCCAAAAGGGAAAGAACAGUUUGUACAGUUUUGGAAUCAAAUUUGUUAUCUUCUGACUCUGACAGCUCAGUGGAUCUUUCUGACUUGCUCUGCAGCUUUGGUUAUGAUUCAUACCCAAAAAAGGAAGAAAAGAAACACAUUCCAUUGAUUCAGAAAACAUGGACUAUGGCAGAAGGAAAACGGGUAAUGGUGUCAUCGGAUGAAUGCGACUCGGACCCAGAAAUGAAAGAAAAAAAGGCCACAACUCAGACGAAGCACGCUACGAAAACAAGAAGACUGAGAAAGUUGGUAAUGGCUGAAGAAUCAGGUGAGUAAAGUGGAGCAUAAGAAAGGUUAUGUCGUACAUUUGUGUUUAAAUUAAUUGAGUAGUAAAAUGACAGAUGCAAGUAAGUCAUAGUAUUAUUUUGCAUACCGAUUAACUAGUAAUUGGUCUUUUUGUAUUAAUCCCUCAAUUCCGUUGUAGGUAUGGGUACUGAGGAGAUUGAGGUGAAUAUAUAACCUCUUUAUUUAACUUAACAAAACCUUUGCAUCUUUGUCUGUUUAGCAAUCUGUUAUAUCCCUUUCUUCCUAGCUAGUAAUCUUUGUAUGGUUCUUGAGUGAGGAAAAUCUUUUCACGCUUACGCUCAACCUGUAUGGCACCCGAGACUGGCGACCAGCUUCAGGAGAGUAUUUCCAAGUAUGGGAAUAUUGUAAUUGCAGGCUUGGUAGUUCCGACCUCUGCUGCUGUCAUCCCAGCUGGAUAUCCCCUCUUUACUACACCGUGCCACCUAAUAUGGUUCCACCAAAGGGGCUUAUGCAUCAACCUUUGGGUCUGAUCCACCUGAAUGAAGGACCAGUAAAUUUCUGCCUCCUGCUAGGCCAAGUUUCUAUGUUGGUGCCCCGACCCAUGGCAAUUCUAGAAAAAAUGGGGGAGAAUGAGUGCGGAUAUGGUUGCUCAAACAGGUGGUCAAUCGGUGUCAUUUAUGCCACACAUUCCACAUCUACCUCUCGGCCAGCGAUUUCAGUGAGAGAUCCAAACAAUCAGCAGAACAAGUACAUAAUGGAAGUGCAGAUGGGCGAGAUGAAAAUUGGACCACACAGACUCUCAUCUAUUGCUGGUCCUAAAUCUGUUCGAGGAUUAAAGACAUUGAGCACCAAGCUAGCUGCUGGCUGCUUUCCCUCAGCACCAGGAACAGAUGCUUGGCGAAUAUCUUUACCCACUUGUCUUUAAACUCCAGCAUUACCUUGCGGGCGGCAAAGCUAACUGGGAUGUUUUUGGAGAUGGAUAACUCGGAGUUGCUUCUUUUAUUGGAGUCACCAGAAUCGUUGGCCAUGAAAGCAGGGCAGGUUCUUAACAGCUCCUAGACAACAAGAUCCUCUGGUGCUGGGUGGGCCCUCCAUCCCCAUUACAUGUCAACUACCUCGUAGAAUCUUGUUGCCGGAGUCUCUAUCUGUAUUUCUUUUUCCAAGUUUAAAGUUAUGGUUUGACAACCAGGUGUAUUCUGCGUGGGUAGCAUUUUCGCUAAUCGUACUUGUUGACUACA
This is an RNA transcript of Papaver somniferum (opium poppy), 3162 nucleotides long. RefSeq lists it as uncharacterized. Lineage: Eukaryota; Viridiplantae; Streptophyta; Magnoliopsida; Ranunculales; Papaveraceae. The record is from RefSeq and is a predicted model, not a curated record. The transcript is spliced from 4 exons.